ACGGGUGGGGGAGGGCUCCCAGUGCUCCCAGUGCUCCCAGUGCCUCCGUCCCAGUGCUCCCAGUGUCCCCAGUGUCCCUAGUGCUCCCAGUGUGCCCAUCCCAGUGCUCCCAGUGCCUCUAUCCCAGUACUCCCAGUGCUCCCAGUACCCCAUCUUGGUGGUCCCAGUGUCCCCAGUGCUCCCAGUAGCCCCAUCCCAGUGCUCCCAGUGCCCCCAGUACCCCAUCUCGCUGCCCCCAGUGUCCCUCCAGUGCUCCCAGUGCCCCCAGUGCUCCCAGUGCCCCCAGUGUCCCCAGCUCGGUGCUCCCAGUGCUCCCAGUACCCUGUCCUAGUGCUCCCAGUGUCCCCAGUGCUCCACCAGUGCUCCCAGUGUCCCCAUCUCAGUGCUCCCAGUGCUCCCAAUGUCCCCAGCCUGGUGCUCCCAGUGUCCCCAGUGCUCCCAGUUGCCCCAUCCCAGUGCUCCCAGUGUCUCUGUCCCAGUGCUCCCAGUGUCCCCAGUACUCCCAGUGCUCCCAGUGCCUCCAUCCCAGUACUCCCAGUGUCCCCAGUGUCCCCAGUGCUCCCAGUACCCUGUCCCAGUGCUCCCAGUACUCUAUCCCAGUGUUUCCAGUGCUCCCAGUACCCCAACUUGGUGCCCCCAGUGUCCCCAGUACUCCCAGUAGCCCGUCCCAGUGCUCCCAGUGCCCCCAGUGUCUCCAUCCCAGUGUCCCCUCCUCCCAGUGCUCCCAGUGGCCCCAUCCCAGUGCUCCCAGUGUCUCUGUCCCAGUGUCCCCAGUGUCCCCAGUGCUCCCAGUACCCCAUCCCAGUGCUCCCAGUGCCUCUAUCCCAGUACUCACAGUGCUCCCAGUGUCCCCAGUGCUCCCAGUAGCCCGUCCCAGUACUCCCAGUGUCCCCAUCUUGGUGCUCCCAAUGCUCCCAGUGCUCCCAGUGCCCCAUCCCAGUACUCCCAGGGCUCCCAGUGCCCCCUCAGAGCCCCCCCAGUGCCCCCCAUUGAGAGAUUGUCUGCAUCCCAGUGUCCCCAGUGCUCCCAGUGCCUGCAUCCCAGUGCUCCCAGUGCCCCAGCCCAGUGACCCCACUGUCCCCAGCCCAGUGCUCCCAGUGCCCCCGUCCCAGUGCUCCCAGUUCCCCAGUGCC
RNAcentral lists this long non-coding RNA (1133 nucleotides) under Anas platyrhynchos platyrhynchos (common mallard). RNAcentral's name for it is "lncRNA (ENSAPLG00000018835.1)". The record is from RNAcentral. Lineage: Eukaryota; Metazoa; Chordata; Aves; Anseriformes; Anatidae.